CUGUGGUUCACUAAACAGGGAAGUGGACUGUGUGUAAAGUGAAAUGAAAAGAGUACUAUGUGAUGAGUCAAACUGCUCCUGGGGGAUAAACUAGUUAUGCCAUAAAUAGUUUACGGAGUGGACUCCAUAGACCAAACUGAGAGGCUCCUUAUUGGUUAUACUCUUCCUGGUGAAUGCGUUGUCGACCUGUAACCAGGGCCAG
Molecule: non-coding RNA, 202 nt
Organism: Pelobates cultripes (western spadefoot toad)
Lineage: Eukaryota; Metazoa; Chordata; Amphibia; Anura; Pelobatidae
Source: the annotation of a GenBank genome assembly